RNAcentral lists this ribosomal RNA (464 nucleotides) under uncultured bacterium. Its description in RNAcentral is "partial 16S ribosomal RNA". It matches the Rfam family "Bacterial small subunit ribosomal RNA", at positions 339 to 795 of the family's 1533-position model. The record is from RNAcentral.
CUACGGGGGGCUGCAGUUAGGGAUAUUCGGCAAUGGGGGAAACCCUGACCGAGCACUGCCGCGUGAAUGAAGAAGUAUUUCGAUAUGUAAAGUUCUGUUGUUAAGGAAGAAAGGUACGAAUAGGAAAUGAUUCGUAAUUGACGGUACUUAACCAGAAAGCCCCUGCUAACUACGUGCCAGCAGCAGCGGUAAUACGUAGGGGGCGAGCGUUAUCCGGAAUUAUUGGGCGUAAAGGGUGCGUAGGCGGCCUGUCAAGUCCGAGUUGAAAGCCCACGGCUUAACCGGGGAGGGUGCUCGGAAACUGAUAGGCUUGAAUCCAGAAGAGGCAAGUGGAAUUCUAUGUGGAGCGGUGGCAUGCGUAGAUAUAUGGAGGAACACCAGUGGCGAAGGCGGCUUGCUGGGCUGGUAUUGACGCUGAUGCACGAAAGCGUGGGGAGCAAACAGGAUUAGAUACCCCUGUAGUC